Molecule: non-coding RNA, 715 nt
Organism: Macaca mulatta (Rhesus monkey)
Lineage: Eukaryota; Metazoa; Chordata; Mammalia; Primates; Cercopithecidae
Source: RefSeq, a predicted model, not a curated record
CUUGCCUGUAGGUUUCGAGUUAGAGGGAUCCACCAGAGAAAUUUCUGUGACAGAUUUAGAGGGCAGAAGUAAAACAUCAGACAUUUUGUUACCCACACACAUCACUGUCUGCUGACUCAUCUUGUUGGAUCUAUAAUUGCUUGCUCUACCAUCUCCUGAACACUAUAUUAGCUUCUAUGAUACGUGGGCCAGAAGUAAUCAAGAAGAGUUUUGGCUUCUGCAGGAUACCAUAUCAUCAAGGUUAGACGCAACAAGAACUGACAAGGAUUUCUGUCUCUGGUUGCAGGCCUCAGCUCAUUUGUGGGGUUCAGCUUCUUUUUGCUCUUCCCCACUUUACAUCCAUUUUUCCUUCCCAUCUGCCUGCCCUGUGGAUAUCAAGCUCCAGCAUAAAACCUGAGGACAGCAACUUCACAGAGAUUGCUUAACCAACUCCAACUGUGAGUCUGAAAAGUAUGAGUGAGACAGCGCUAAGCCUCUCAACCAUAAUCUGUAAGAUGGAAGAAAACUCCUACUAGUGUGGAGCUGCCGGGUGUCCAGGUGGUCUGUCAGGACAAUGAGCUGAAAUGAAACUAACAAUCAAGCCUUUGUUCACCUACUGUGAUAAUCAUCUGGAUCAUAACAAGUAUGCAACGAUACAUGAGGACCCUCCAACUUGCAACAUUUUGUCUACCAUAUGCUUAAAAGAAGGGAAGCUUCAUAGAGUUUGGGUAUUUGA